CCGGCGCACGGGUGAGUAACGCGUAUGCAACUUGCCUAUCAGAGGGGGAUAACCCGGCGAAAGUCGGACUAAUACCGCAUGAAGCAGGGAUCCCGCAUGGGAAUAUUUGCUAAAGAUUCAUCGCUGAUAGAUAGGCAUGCGUUCCAUUGGGCAGUUGGCGGGGUAACGGCCCACCAAACCGACGAUGGAUAGGGGUUCUGAGAGGAAGGUCCCCCACAUUGGUACUGAGACACGGACCAA
Molecule: ribosomal RNA, 240 nt
Filed under: uncultured bacterium
Lineage: Bacteria
Description: partial 16S ribosomal RNA
Rfam family: Bacterial small subunit ribosomal RNA
Source: RNAcentral